RNAcentral lists this ribosomal RNA (120 nucleotides) under Castor canadensis (American beaver). The record is from RNAcentral. Lineage: Eukaryota; Metazoa; Chordata; Mammalia; Rodentia; Castoridae.
UCUAUGACUGAUACCACCCUGAAUGCACCAGAUCUUGUUUGAUCUUGGAAGUGAAUCAGGGUUAGGCCUGGUUAGUACUUGCAUGGGAGAAAGAAAAAGAGAAUGCUGCAAUUUCUAGCC